This 230-nucleotide ribosomal RNA is filed under the name uncultured bacterium. RNAcentral's name for it is "partial 16S ribosomal RNA". It matches the Rfam family "Bacterial small subunit ribosomal RNA", at positions 15 to 237 of the family's 1533-position model. The record is from RNAcentral.
GAUCAUGGCUCAGGAUGAACGCUAGCUACAGGCUUAACACAUGCAAGUCGAGGGGCAGCAUGAACUUAGCUUGCUAAGUUUGAUGGCGACCGGCGCACGGGUGAGUAACACGUAUCCAACCUGCCGAUGACUCGGGGAUAGCCUUUCGAAAGAAAGAUUAAUACCCGAUGGCAUAGUUCUUCCGCAUGGUGGAACUAUUAAAGAAUUUCGGUCAUCGAUGGGGAUGCGCU